Molecule: ribosomal RNA, 253 nt
Filed under: uncultured bacterium
Lineage: Bacteria
Description: partial 16S ribosomal RNA
Rfam family: Bacterial small subunit ribosomal RNA
Source: RNAcentral
UACGAAGGGUGCAAGCGUUGUUCGGAAUUACUGGGCGUAAAGGGCUCGUAGGUGGCCAACUAAGUCAGACGUGAAAUCCCUCGGCUUAACCGGGGAACUGCGUCUGAUACUGGAUGGCUUGAGUUUGGGAGAGGGACGCGGAAUUCCAGGUGUAGCGGUGAAAUGCGUAGAUAUCAGGAGGAACACCAAUUGCGAAGGCAGCUCGCUGGGACGUUACUGACGCUGAGACGCGAAAGCGUGGGGAGCAAACAGG